UCCGGGAUGGUGUAACGGCAGCACCAGGGACUUUGGAUCCCUUAGUGAAGGUUCGAAUCCUUCUCCCGGAG
RNAcentral lists this transfer RNA (71 nucleotides) under Actinomycetota bacterium. RNAcentral describes it as "tRNA-Gln". It matches the Rfam family "tRNA". From Rfam's summary of the family: Transfer RNA (tRNA) molecules are approximately 80 nucleotides in length. Lineage: Bacteria; Bacillati; Actinomycetota. The record is from RNAcentral.